GUUAGGGAAUUAAGACAGGCCUUUAAAGUAAUGGUUACGUAAUGUCAACACGUAUUACAGUGUUAAACUUUUUGCCCUCUUUUUACAGGCCUCUAGGACAACUAUAUGGUGGUGUAAGGCUACAACGCACAGCUUUCUGUUAAAUGUUCCUUAAUUAUAAUGUCUUUUACAUUGUUGGGAAAAUCCAAACACAGAAAAAUUUGUGUUUUUGCUAAAGGCUGUAGUUCCCC
Non-coding RNA from Pelobates cultripes (western spadefoot toad), 230 nucleotides. Lineage: Eukaryota; Metazoa; Chordata; Amphibia; Anura; Pelobatidae. The record is from the annotation of a GenBank genome assembly.